RNAcentral lists this ribosomal RNA (1741 nucleotides) under human gut metagenome. RNAcentral's name for it is "bacterial LSU rRNA". It matches the Rfam family "Bacterial large subunit ribosomal RNA", at positions 521 to 2288 of the family's 2925-position model. The record is from RNAcentral.
GAACCCCGGGAGGGGAGUGAAAGAGAACCUGAAACCUUAUGUUUACAAACAGUCGAAGUUUUUCGGAACGACGGCGUACUUUUUGUAGAACGGUCCGGCGAGUUGCAGUGACAUGCGAGGUUAAGGAGUACAGCUCCGGAGCCGAAGGGAAACCAAGUCUUAACUGGGCGUCUAGUAUGUUAAUGCAGACCCGAAACCGGGUGACCUAUCCAUGGGCAGGUUGAAGUUACCGUAAAAGGUAAUGGAGGACCGAACUCACAUCUGUUGAAAAAGGUGGAGAUGACCUGUGGAUAGCGGAGAAAUUCCAAUCGAACUCGGAGAUAGCUGGUUCUCCUCGAAAUAGCUUUAGGGCUAGCCUUGAGGUAAAGUCUAAUGGAGGUAAAGCACUGAUUGGACGCGGGUCCCCAAAAGGAUACCAACUUCUAUCAAACUCAGAAUGCCAUAUAGAUAUACUCAGGAGUCAGACUAUGUGAGAUAAGUUUCAUAGUCAAAAGGGAAAGAGCCCAGACCGACAGCUAAGGUCCCAAAGUGUGUGUUAAGUGGAAAAGGAUGUUAGGUUUCUAAGACAACUAGGAUGUUGGCUCAGAAGCAGCCACUCAUUUAAAGAGUGCGUAACAGCUCACUAGUCGAGAGGUCUAGCGCCGAAAAUGUCCGGGGCUAAAACACACCACCGAAGCUACGGAAUUACCUAUGGUAAUUGGUAGAGGAGCAUUCUGUAAGGAUGAAGCACAAUUGAAAGAGAGUGUGGACGAAACAGAAGAGAGAAUGCCGGAAUGAGUAGCGAGAUAUAUGUGAGAAUCAUAUAGGUCGAAUGUCUAAGGUUUCCUGGGUAAAGCUGAUCUGCUCAGGGUAAGUCGGGACCUAAGGUGAGGGCGAGAGCCGUAAUCGAUGGACAACAGGUAGAAAUUCCUGUACUACGUAUAAUCAGAACUGUGGGGACGCAGGAGGAUAGGAAAACCGGAGAAUGGAAAUAUCCGGCUAAGUACAAAGGUGUGAGUGAUAGGCAAAUCCGUCACUAUUAGCUGAAGUACGAAUGGGAGCGAAGAAAAGUAGCGAAGUUUCUGAAUCCACACUGUCAAGAAAAGCCGCUAUUGCGUUAUACGUACCCGUACCGCAAACCGACACAGGUAGACGAGGAGAAAAUCCACAGACCGACGGGAGAAGUGUUGUUAAGGAACUCGGCAAAAUGACCCCGUAACUUAGGGAUAAGGGGAGCCAACGCAAGUUGGUCACAGAAAAGAGGCUCAAGCGACUGUUUAGCAAAAACAUAGGUCUAUGCGAAACCGUAAGGUGAUGUAUAUGGGCUGACACCUGCCCGGUGCUGGAAGGUCAAAAGGAGAGGUUAGCGCAAGCGAAGCCUUGAAUUCAAGCCCCAGUAAACGGCGGCCGUAACUAUAACGGUCCUAAGGUAGCGAAAUUCCUUGUCAGGUAAGUUCUGACCCGCACGAAAGGUGUAACGAUUUGAGCACUGUCUCGACAACACGCCCGGUGAAAUUGAAGAACCAGUGAAGAUACUGGUUACCCGCAACAGGACGGAAAGACCCCAUGGAGCUUUACUGCAGCUUAAUAUUGGGAUUCGGUAUUGUAUGUACAGGAUAGGAGGGAGACUAAGAAGCUAGCACGCCAGUGUUGGUGGAGUCGAUGGUGGGAUACCUCUCUUAUAAUACUGAAUUUCUAACCUACUUCCGUGAUCCGGAAGAGGGACAUUGUUAGGCGGGCAGUUUGACUGGGGCGGUCGCCU